RNAcentral lists this long non-coding RNA (345 nucleotides) under Malus domestica (apple). RNAcentral describes it as "long non-coding RNA (MDOM_LNC007195)". The record is from RNAcentral. Lineage: Eukaryota; Viridiplantae; Streptophyta; Magnoliopsida; Rosales; Rosaceae.
UACAGGCCGUGAAAACGAGCUCAUCGUCGACAAAAAUGUGAACAUCCAAGGACUGUCCAAGGUGCGGAUCAAAGACUUACAAGAAGGAGUCAUUUUCGGAAACUUGGACUCGGUAUUUUCCCGCAUGCUACUUCAAAUGGGUCGGCUCCUCCCCCGCGCCACCGCAGUUUUUAUGAACUGCUUCGAAGAACUCGACCUCCCCGUAACAAACGACCUAAAGUUCAAAUUCAACAAACUCCUCAACGUAGGACCUUCCAACGUAGCAUCCCGGCUGCCACCGCUGCCGCCAUCAGACGCUUUGAUCUUGUCGUGGCUUGACAAGCAAGACGCUCCAUCCUCCGUCGU